AUGGCUACAUUCGCUGCUGCAGCCGUGGCUCUUCCAGGUCGCGUUGCCGGAUCUCGGCGGUGCGUGGUGGCGCGGGCGUCUGCGACUAUGCCGGUGGCAGGGAGGACGCACUACGAGGUGCUCGGGGUGGGCGCGCGGGCCAGUAGGGGGGAGAUCAAGGCUGCGUACCGGCACCUUGCCAGGGAGGUGCACCCGGACGGCACAGGUGGAGGUGGCAACGAGGGCUUCAUCCGGCUGCACGCGGCCUACGCCACGCUCGCCGACCCCGACGAGCGCGCGUGCUACGACCGGAACGUGGCCGGCCGCGCCGCGGCUAUGAUGAUGCGGCGGGCUGGAGCGGCGGUGCCAGCGUUCCGGCGGAGGACAUGGGAGACCGACCAGUGCUGGUAG
This 390-nucleotide ribosomal RNA is filed under the name Triticum aestivum (bread wheat). Its description in RNAcentral is "partial small subunit ribosomal RNA". The record is from RNAcentral. Lineage: Eukaryota; Viridiplantae; Streptophyta; Magnoliopsida; Poales; Poaceae.